RNAcentral lists this ribosomal RNA (766 nucleotides) under Meloidogyne enterolobii. RNAcentral's name for it is "partial large subunit ribosomal RNA". It matches the Rfam family "Eukaryotic large subunit ribosomal RNA", at positions 344 to 965 of the family's 3401-position model. The record is from RNAcentral. Lineage: Eukaryota; Metazoa; Nematoda; Chromadorea; Rhabditida; Meloidogynidae.
UCAAGUACCCGUGAGGGAAAGUUGCAAAGCACUUUGAAGAGAGAGUUAAAGAGGACGUGAAACCGGAGAGGUGGAAACGGAUAGAGUCGGCGCGUAUCUUUCAAGUAUUCAUUUACAUUAUUUUUAUGUUGUGAUCUCUGAGCUCCAGAUUGGGACAGAAAGAAGCAUCAUAAUUUUCUGUGAUGCAUUUGCUUGUUUGGUGCUUGGGGAUGUUUGAGGCAGAUUUGUAACCGCCGUUUUGAGGCCAGCUUGCUGGUACCCAAACAGCGUUAGCAUCUUUUGUCUUGGACAUUUGAGUAUGGUUUACGGGCAUUUAUUGGUUCGAUCUGAUUGUAAGUUACGGUCGCAUGCGACACGUGCUUUUCAUUUAGAUCGGUCCAGUUAAUGCUCUCGUACUCGCUCCCCAUGUAAAAGCCGGUCAUCUAUCCGACCCGUCUUGAAACACGGACCAAGGAGUUUAUCGUGUGCGCAAGUUUUUGGGUGUUAAAAACCUAAAAGCGAAAUGAAAGUAAAUGGCUCUUUAGAGUCUGACGUGCGAUCUUGUAAAAAAGGGCAGCAUGGCCCCAUUCUAACUGUUUACAGUAGGGUGGAGGAAGAGCGUACGCGGUGAGACCCGAAAGAUGGUGAACUAUUCCUGAGCAGGACGAAGCCAGAGGAAACUCUGGUGGAAGUCCGAAGCGGUUCUGACGUGCAAAUCGAUCGUCUGACUUGGGUAUAGGGGCGAAAGACUAAUCGAACCAUCUAGUAGCUGGUUUUCCUUUCCGAA